Molecule: long non-coding RNA, 460 nt
Organism: Zingiber officinale
Lineage: Eukaryota; Viridiplantae; Streptophyta; Magnoliopsida; Zingiberales; Zingiberaceae
Exons: 3
Source: RefSeq, a predicted model, not a curated record
CUUUCGGAGGAUUUGGCAUUGAAACAGCACAUAGAUAUUGGUUAUCUGAAAUCAACGAUGCCACAGAAAACUUUGCUAAAAAAGUUGGUUCUGGGGGCUAUGGGACAGUGUAUUAUGGAAAGUUGAAAAACGGAAAAGAAAUUGCCGUCAAAGUUCAAACCAAUGAUUCUUGUCAGGGAAACAGACAGUUCUCAAGUGAGGUUUCUCUACUUUCAAGAAUACAUCACAGAAAUCUGGUUGAAUUUCUCGGUUACUGCUAGCAAGAAGGCAAAAGCAUUCUUGUAUAUGAGUUUAUGCAUAAUGGAGCACUGAAAGAGCAUCUUCAUGGCUCCUUGUCUCAGGAAAGUCCCAUCAGUUGGAUAAACAAACUUAACUCUUUGUAUAAAUCCUUUCACACUUGAUACGCAUAUUGGUGUAAUAAGCAAACUUAACUCUUUGUAUAAACAUGUCAAAGGUCCAG